RNAcentral lists this ribosomal RNA (252 nucleotides) under uncultured bacterium. RNAcentral's name for it is "partial 16S ribosomal RNA". It matches the Rfam family "Bacterial small subunit ribosomal RNA", at positions 524 to 776 of the family's 1533-position model. The record is from RNAcentral.
UACGGAGGGUGCAAGCGUUAAUCGGAAUUACUGGGCGUAAAGCGUGCGUAGGUGGUUCGUUAAGUCCGUUGUGAAAGCCCCGAGCUCAACUUGGGAAUUGCAGUGGAUACUGGCGAGCUAGAGUGCGGUAGAGGAAGGUGGAAUUCCCGGUGUAGCGGUGAAAUGCGUAGAGAUCGGGAGGAACACCAGUGGCGAAGGCGGCCUUCUGGACCAGCACUGACACUCAAGCACGAAAGCGUGGGAGCAAACAGG